UUCCCUAGUAACUGCGAGUGAAGCGGGAUGAGCUCAAAUUUAAAAUCUGGCGUCUUCGGCGUCCGAGUUGUAAUUUAGAGAAGCGUUUUCCGCGCCGGACCGUGUACAAGUCUCCUGGAACGGAGCGUCAUAGAGGGUGAGAAUCCCGUCUUUGACACGGACCCCCGGUGCUCUGUGAUACGCUCUCGAAGAGUCGAGUUGUUUGGGAAUGCAGCUCAAAAUGGGUGGUGAACUCCAUCUAAAGCUAAAUAUUGGCGAGAGACCGAUAGCGAACAAGUACCGUGAGGGAAAGAUGAAAAGCACUUUGGAAAGAGAGUGAAACAGUACGUGAAAUUGUUGAAAGGGAAACGCUUGAAGUCAGUCGCGUCCGCCAGGAUUCAGCCUCACGGUGUACUUCCUGGUGGACGGGCCAGCAUCACUUUCAAUCAUCGGACAAGGUCGAGAGGAAUGUGGCACCUUCGGGUGUGUUAUAGCCUCUUGUCGUAUACGGUGACUGGGAGUGAGGACCGCCUUUUGUAGGAUGCUGGCGUAAUGGCUUUAAACGACCCGUCUUGAAACACGGACCAAGGAGUCUAACAUGCCCGCGAGUGUUCGGGUGGAAAACCCGUGCGCGUAAUGAAAGUGAAAGUUGGGAAGGCUGUCGCGGCCUGCACCGACGCCCGGACUUGAGAUUUAUCGAAGGUUCUGCGGUAGAGCGUGUAUGUUGGGACCCGAAAGAUGGUGAACUAUGCCUGAAUAGGGUGAAGCCAGAGGAAACUCUGGUGGAGGCUCGUAGCGAUUCUGACGUGCAAAUCGAUCGUCAAAUUUGGGUAUAGGGGCGAAAGACUAAUCGAACCAUCUAGUAGCUGGGUUCCUGCCGAAGU
RNAcentral lists this ribosomal RNA (863 nucleotides) under Peniophora lilacea. RNAcentral describes it as "LSU rRNA". It matches the Rfam family "Eukaryotic large subunit ribosomal RNA", at positions 76 to 967 of the family's 3401-position model. The record is from RNAcentral. Lineage: Eukaryota; Fungi; Basidiomycota; Agaricomycetes; Russulales; Peniophoraceae.